AUUGAACGCUGGCGGCAGGCCUAACACAUGCAAGUCGAACGGCAGCACAGAAGAGCUUGCUCUUUGGGUGGCGAGUGGCAGACGGGUGAGUAAUGUCUGGGAAACUGCCCGAUGGAGGGGGAUAACUACUGGAAACGGUAGCUAAUACCGCAUAACGUCGCAAGACCAAAGUGGGGGACCUUCGGGCCUCACACCAUCGGAUGUGCCCAGAUGGGAUUAGCUAGUAGGUGGGGUAAUGGCUCACCUAGGCGACGAUCCCUAGCUGGUCUGAGAGGAUGACCAGCCACACUGGAACUGAGACACGGUCCAGACUCCUAAGGGAGGCAGCAGUGGGGAAUAUUGCACAAUGGGCGCAAGCCUGAUGCAGCCAUGCCGCGUGUAUGAAGAAGGCCUUCGGGUUGUAAAGUACUUUCAGCGGGGAGGAAGGCGGUGAGGUUAAUAACCUCGCCGAUUGACGUUACCCGCAGAAGAAGCACCGGCUAACUCCGUGCCAGCAGCCGCUGUAA
Molecule: ribosomal RNA, 506 nt
Filed under: uncultured bacterium
Lineage: Bacteria
Description: partial 16S ribosomal RNA
Rfam family: Bacterial small subunit ribosomal RNA
Source: RNAcentral